Small nucleolar RNA from Gastrolobium bilobum, 83 nucleotides. RefSeq annotates it as small nucleolar RNA R160. The transcript has a single exon. NCBI's taxonomy places the organism in Eukaryota, Viridiplantae, Streptophyta, Magnoliopsida, Fabales, Fabaceae. The record is from RefSeq and is a predicted model, not a curated record.
AGCAAAAUGAUGAAGUCUUUUGUAUGUCUGAAAUUGAUGUGGAUCUCGUAUUUCAUACAGGUCUUCAAAGUUCUCUGAUUGCU